Molecule: long non-coding RNA, 1470 nt
Filed under: Betta splendens (Siamese fighting fish)
Lineage: Eukaryota; Metazoa; Chordata; Actinopteri; Anabantiformes; Osphronemidae
Description: lncRNA (ENSBSLG00000015866.1)
Source: RNAcentral
GACAUUAUUAUUGGCGAUGUUGCAUUUUCUACUUCCUUUAAUAGAAAGUGUGCAGCGUUUAAGCUCAGAGCUUAGUCGUCGUUUCGUUCUUUCCGUUUAUGCUCUUCUGUUGUCAUGUCACAGCAUGAGUUUAAAGUUGUAUCUUUACAAUGUAGGGAGGGUGGAGCUUUGAUCAAAGCAAGGACAGAGAGGAAGAGGAAGCUGUGGGGCCAGUAGUUAAUCUCGCCUCAUUUUUUAGAAACUUGCAUCUUGUUCUUCUCAACUUUUUAUUAUGAUCUGCGUGUGUGUCCUGUGGCUGGUACUUUGUGAGUAUUCUCUGACUGUCGGGGUGAAGAGUCUCAGACAAACAGGAUACGUUGGACAAAAUGUAACAUUUCAGUGCUCAGACUGGGAGGGUUACACUUGGAGUGAUGUAACAUCUUACGUUAAGUACAUUAGUACAGAGAACAAGCAUGAGAUCAUGAGAGUAAAACCUGGAGACAUUAAUCAAAAGGACAGAAUAUCUUUAUACAACAAUGGAGGAACUUUGUCUGUGACCUUCACUGAUGUCCAGAAGUCAGACUCUGGGACUUAUUACUGUGGACUGGAUAGGUGGAGACAUGACAUAUAUAUACAGGUGAUCCUUCACGUUAUAGAUGCAGUGACUCCUGGUCCACAGACAACAGUUAGAACAGUCAGUGUGUGGUCAAGCUCCACUGUGUUUUCAAACAGCAAAAAUAUUACUUCAGAUAUUUCACCAUUGUUCACCACACGUCAGUCAACAGCAGCUGCUGCAUCAGAAGCACAUGGCGAUGAAGGGAAUGGAACAGGAAGUGUCCUGUACUUGAUCAUUGGUUUCACUGUUGUAAUAACUACACUGGUUCUUCUAUUGUGUCUAAUGAUGAAGAUAAAGAAAGAGAGAAAGAAAAAGGUGUCUAAGUCUGGUUCACCAGAAGCCGUCGUACAACAGGAUGCCGACUAUGCUGAAAUCAGACAUGAAGACCACACUGAGAGGGCGUCUGCUGCUGACGUUUACCCAGAGACGCUCUAUGCAAAUUAUUCCAGCCAACAGGACACAGCACAGCAGGACAGGGCUUCACACGAUGCUUCUGCUUCUAGUCCCCACGUCAGACACACAGAUUCCCAGUUUGAAUGUCUUUACUCUGUCGCUCAACUUCCUGAAGAGCGGCCUGAGUGUGAAUCUGCAAUAAAUGACUCAAGAUGCACCAUCUAUAGCGUAGUUAAGCCAGCACAGAUAACAUGAGGACUACUAAUACUACAGAUGAAAAGUGCUACACAAACCUCUGGCACAGUCACACAUGAAGUCUAAUAGUAGGAGGAGAGCAGCCAGCGCAUGCUAGCAAAGUGUUUUCAACAUGUUGCUGUGUUCAGGGGUUAACAAGUCAUUUCAGCUUUUAUUUGUUAUUAUAAUAUAUUAUAUUUGUACGUACGUAAUAAUAUAAAAUAAAUACAUGCUGCAUUUUAUGAACA